Molecule: ribosomal RNA, 1372 nt
Filed under: uncultured bacterium
Lineage: Bacteria
Description: bacterial SSU rRNA
Rfam family: Bacterial small subunit ribosomal RNA
Source: RNAcentral
GAUGAACGCUGGCGGCGUGCCUAAUACAUGCAAGUCGAGCGAACGGACGAGAAGCUUGCUUCUCUGAUGUUAGCGGCGGACGGGUGAGUAACACGUGGAUAACCUACCUAUAAGACUGGGAUAACUUCGGGAAACCGGAGCUAAUACCGGAUAAUAUUUUGAACCGCAUGGUUCAAAAGUGAAAGACGGUCUUGCUGUCACUUAUAGAUGGAUCCGCGCUGCAUUAGCUAGUUGGUAAGGUAACGGCUUACCAAGGCAACGAUGCAUAGCCGACCUGAGAGGGUGAUCGGCCACACUGGAACUGAGACACGGUCCAGACUCCUACGGGAGGCAGCAGUAGGGAAUCUUCCGCAAUGGGCGAAAGCCUGACGGAGCAACGCCGCGUGAGUGAUGAAGGUCUUCGGAUCGUAAAACUCUGUUAUUAGGGAAGAACAUAUGUGUAAGUAACUGUGCACAUCUUGACGGUACCUAAUCAGAAAGCCACGGCUAACUACGUGCCAGCAGCCGCGGUAAUACGUAGGUGGCAAGCGUUAUCCGGAAUUAUUGGGCGUAAAGCGCGCGUAGGCGGUUUUUUAAGUCUGAUGUGAAAGCCCACGGCUCAACCGUGGAGGGUCAUUGGAAACUGGAAAACUUGAGUGCAGAAGAGGAAAGUGGAAUUCCAUGUGUAGCGGUGAAAUGCGCAGAGAUAUGGAGGAACACCAGUGGCGAAGGCGACUUUCUGGUCUGUAACUGACGCUGAUGUGCGAAAGCGUGGGGAUCAAACAGGAUUAGAUACCCUGGUAGUCCACGCCGUAAACGAUGAGUGCUAAGUGUUAGGGGGUUUCCGCCCCUUAGUGCUGCAGCUAACGCAUUAAGCACUCCGCCUGGGGAGUACGACCGCAAGGUUGAAACUCAAAGGAAUUGACGGGGACCCGCACAAGCGGUGGAGCAUGUGGUUUAAUUCGAAGCAACGCGAAGAACCUUACCAAAUCUUGACAUCCUUUGACAACUCUAGAGAUAGAGCCUUCCCCUUCGGGGGGCAAAGUGACAGGUGGUGCAUGGUUGUCGUCAGCUCGUGUCGUGAGAUGUUGGGUUAAGUCCCGCAACGAGCGCAACCCUUAAGCUUAGUUGCCAUCAUUAAGUUGGGCACUCUAAGUUGACUGCCGGUGACAAACCGGAGGAAGGUGGGGAUGACGUCAAAUCAUCAUGCCCCUUAUGAUUUGGGCUACACACGUGCUACAAUGGACAAUACAAAGGGCAGCGACACCGCGAGGUCAAGCAAAUCCCAUAAAGUUGUUCUCAGUUCGGAUUGUAGUCUGCAACUCGACUACAUGAAGCUGGAAUCGCUAGUAAUCGUAGAUCAGCAUGCUACGGUGAAUACGUUCCCGGGUCU